AUAAUUACAAAUGAUGGAAACUAAUUUUAAGUGUAAUUAGAAGGUUUGUUGCAUCAUAUGGUACAACAAUAUUCGUCUUCAAUUCUCAGCAUUAAAAAGUUCGCACAUUGUUCAACUCAAUGGAAGUGUAUGUAAUCCAUUAUGUUUCUACAGUUAUGAAUGCUCCUAGGAUACACUAAAACAUGUAAUGAAUAACUACACAAUUGCAGAACAUGCAGCUUCACAUGCAACGCACUCUCAACCACCAUCAUUAUGAAGUUCCACGAAAGUUGAACUCCCUCAACAUAUUUUCUC
This 294-nucleotide long non-coding RNA is filed under the name Phaseolus vulgaris (common bean). RNAcentral describes it as "long non-coding RNA (PVUL_LNC005254)". Lineage: Eukaryota; Viridiplantae; Streptophyta; Magnoliopsida; Fabales; Fabaceae. The record is from RNAcentral.